Long non-coding RNA from Serinus canaria (Common canary), 776 nucleotides. RefSeq lists it as uncharacterized. The record is from RefSeq and is a predicted model, not a curated record. Lineage: Eukaryota; Metazoa; Chordata; Aves; Passeriformes; Fringillidae. The transcript is spliced from 3 exons.
ACCUGAGUGUAUCUGGGAUCACACCUGGGAUCACACCUGAGUGUAUCUGGGAUCACACCUGGGAUCACAUCUGGGCACACCUGGCAUCACACCUCAGUGCACCUGGAAGCACCUGGCACACCUGAGCUCACACUUGAGCCAAUACCCCCACACACCUGCCCAGGAAAGGCUGAAAUUCCUGGAAUUCCGGCCCUAUCCAGGUACCCCAGGUGGGAUCCCAGCCCUAUGCAGGUACCCCAGGUGGGAUCCCAGCCCCAUCCAGGUACCCCAGGUGGGACCCCAGCCCUAUCCAGGUACCCCAGCCCCAGGAUUAGUGCAAGGUGAAGGGCAUGGUGUCAAAGCGCCGCUCCACCUCGCUGAAGAAAUCCCAAAUCCCUGGAAUCCCAGCCCCAUCCAGGUAAUCCCAGGUGGAAUUCCAGCCCUAUCCAGAUCUAUCCAGGUAUCCCAGGUGGGACCCCAGCCCCAUCCAGGUACCCCAGCCCCAGGACCACCGCAGGGUGAAGGGCAUGGUGUGGAAGCAUUGCUCCACCUUGCUGAGGAACCUCAAACCCUGGAAUCCCAGCCCCAUCCAGGUAAUCCCAGGUGGAAUUCCAGCCCCAUCCAGGUACCCCAGGUGGGACCCCAGCCCCAGGAUUACUGCAGGGUGACAGGCAUGGUGUCAAAGCACCGCUCCACCUCGCUGAAGAAAGCUCAAAUUCUGGAAUCCCAGCCCUAUCCAGGUAAUCCCAGGUGGAAUUCCAGCCCUAUCCAGGUACUCCAGCCCCAUCCAGCCCUAC